Small nuclear RNA from Echinops telfairi (small Madagascar hedgehog), 107 nucleotides. Lineage: Eukaryota; Metazoa; Chordata; Mammalia; Afrosoricida; Tenrecidae. The record is from RefSeq and is a predicted model, not a curated record.
GUGCUUGCUUAGGCAGCACAGAGACAAAAGUUGGAAUGAUACAGAGAAGAUUAGCAUGGCUCCUGAGCAAGGAUGACAUGCAAAUUUGUGAAGAGUUCCAUAGCUUU